Molecule: ribosomal RNA, 253 nt
Filed under: uncultured bacterium
Lineage: Bacteria
Description: partial 16S ribosomal RNA
Rfam family: Bacterial small subunit ribosomal RNA
Source: RNAcentral
UACGUAGGGUGCAAGCGUUGUCCGGAAUUAUUGGGCGUAAAGGGCUCGUAGGCGGUCUGUCACGUCGGGCGUGAAAACUCAGGGCUUAACCCUGAGCCUGCUUCCGAUACGGGCAGACUAGAGGUAUGCAGGGGAGAACGGAAUUCCUGGUGUAGCGGUGAAAUGCGCAGAUAUCAGGAGGAACACCGGUGGCGAAGGCGGUUCUCUGGGCCGAUACUGACGCUGAGGAGCGAAAGCGUGGGGAGCGAACAGG